Molecule: ribosomal RNA, 229 nt
Filed under: Vibrio parahaemolyticus
Lineage: Bacteria; Pseudomonadati; Pseudomonadota; Gammaproteobacteria; Vibrionales; Vibrionaceae
Description: partial 16S ribosomal RNA
Rfam family: Bacterial small subunit ribosomal RNA
Source: RNAcentral
AAAUUGAAGAGUUUGAUCAUGGCUCAGAUUGAACGCUGGCGGCAGGCCUAACACAUGCAAGUCGAGCGGAAACGAGUUAACUGAACCUUCGGGGGACGAUAACGGCGUCGAGCGGCGGACGGGUGAGUAAUGCCUAGGAAAUUGCCCUGAUGUGGGGGAUAACCAUUGGAAACGAUGGCUAAUACCGCAUGAUGCCUACGGGCCAAAGAGGGGGACCUUCGGGCCUCUC